UACGUAGGGUGCAAGCGUUAAUCGGAAUUACUGGGCGUAAAGCGUGCGCAGGCGGUUUUGUAAGUCUGUCGUGAAAUCCCCGGGCUCAACCUGGGAAUUGCGAUGGAGACUGCAAGGCUAGAAUCUGGCAGAGGGGGGUAGAAUUCCACGUGUAGCAGUGAAAUGCGUAGAGAUGUGGAGGAACACCGAUGGCGAAGGCAGCCCCCUGGGUCAAGAUUGACGCUCAUGCACGAAAGCGUGGGGAGCAAACGAGGA
RNAcentral lists this ribosomal RNA (255 nucleotides) under uncultured bacterium. Its description in RNAcentral is "partial 16S ribosomal RNA". It matches the Rfam family "Bacterial small subunit ribosomal RNA", at positions 524 to 778 of the family's 1533-position model. The record is from RNAcentral.